UGGGGAAUAUUGGACAAUGGACCAAAAGUCUGAUCCAGCAAUUCUGUGUGCACGAUGAAGUUUUUCGGAAUGUAAAGUGCUUUCAGUUGGGAAGAAGUCAGUGACGGUACCAACAGAAGAAGCGACGGCUAAAUACGUGCCAGCAGCCGCGGUAAUACGUAUGUCGCAAGCGUUAUCCGGAUUUAUUGGGCGUAAAGCGCGUCUAGGCGGCUUAGUAAGUCUGAUGUGAAAAUGCGGGGCUCAACCCCGUAUUGCGUUGGAAACUGCUAAACUAGAGUACUGGAGAGGUAGGCGGAACUACAAGUGUAGAGGUGAAAUUCGUAGAUAUUUGUAGGAAUGCCGAUGGGGAAGCCAGCCUACUGGACAGAUACUGACGCUAAAGCGCGAAAGCGUGGGUAGCAAACAGG
Molecule: ribosomal RNA, 407 nt
Filed under: Acidobacteriota bacterium
Lineage: Bacteria; Pseudomonadati; Acidobacteriota
Also listed under: 1 other name
Description: Acidobacteria bacterium partial 16S ribosomal RNA
Rfam family: Bacterial small subunit ribosomal RNA
Source: RNAcentral